UACGGAGGGAGCUAGCGUUGUUCGGAAUUACUGGGCGUAAAGCGCACGUAGGCGGCUUUGUAAGUUAGAGGUGAAAGCCUGGAGCUUAACUCCAGAACUGCCUUUAAGACUGCAUCGCUUGAAUCCGGGAGAGGUGAGUGGAAUUCCGAGUGUAGAGGUGAAAUUCGUAGAUAUUCGGAAGAACACCAGUGGCGAAGGCGGCUCACUGGACCGGUAUUGACGCUGAGGUGCGAAAGCGUGGGGAGCAAACAGGAUUAGAUACCCGGGUAGU
Molecule: ribosomal RNA, 271 nt
Filed under: uncultured bacterium
Lineage: Bacteria
Description: partial 16S ribosomal RNA
Rfam family: Bacterial small subunit ribosomal RNA
Source: RNAcentral